GCUCCGGUGGCAUAAUGGUUAGAGCGUCCGCUUCGGAUGCGGGGGGUCGCGGGUUCGAUAUCCGGUCCAGUUAGACCGAAGACU
Molecule: non-coding RNA, 84 nt
Organism: Potamilus streckersoni
Lineage: Eukaryota; Metazoa; Mollusca; Bivalvia; Unionida; Unionidae
Source: the annotation of a GenBank genome assembly